RNAcentral lists this long non-coding RNA (207 nucleotides) under Brassica napus (rape). RNAcentral describes it as "long non-coding RNA (BNAP_LNC019936)". Lineage: Eukaryota; Viridiplantae; Streptophyta; Magnoliopsida; Brassicales; Brassicaceae. The record is from RNAcentral.
GAGACUCUCUGAGUGUACUGAGUCUCGGGGACAGUCUCCUGGUCCCAAGAACUGGGAGCGGAAGAAGAAGCCGGGUCUAAACGACUACCCGGCUCACCGAAGAUCUCUCUGUAAUGGGCAGUAAGUCUUCCUUUUCGAACCUGGGAAAAAAAUAAAAAAUUUAAAAUUAACAUCAACAAUAUAUUUCCCAACAUUAUCCACCUAAUC